CUUCUCAACAGACACUCCUUUAACACUGAACACUGUGACCCUUAUAUCUGCACCUGAGCUGUCGAACUAUCUCGUGAGAUAUGCCUGCAUAGCACAGGAAGAAGGAUCAAUAGUUUGUCAAAGCAUCUCCAAAUAACUUAUAAAGGAAGAUCAACAUGUGUGCAAGCUGAAUAAUAUAAUAAAGACUUUCUUCUGCUUCUGCUUUCUACUAUCUCUGGAAUCACCCAGACAAGCACAGUGAAUGGAAUGUCCUUUUAGUCCACAUUUCUGACAACAUCUUCCAGCAAGGUUAUUCCUGUCUUCACCGGAGAAGUCAUCGGAAUAAAUUUUGUGCCUCAUGUUUCUAUCACUAAAUCUCAAAGAACUUGCGGACUCUGGAGCCUUUGUUUAUUUCUUGAGCUCUCACCAGGAUUGUCCUUAAAACUCC
This 427-nucleotide long non-coding RNA is filed under the name Mus spicilegus (steppe mouse). RNAcentral describes it as "lncRNA (ENSMSIG00000009526.1)". The record is from RNAcentral. Lineage: Eukaryota; Metazoa; Chordata; Mammalia; Rodentia; Muridae.